GGCAACUAGAAAUGGCCACGGAUGUUAACUAACUCCCUCCUCAACAGUCUGAGAAAAGGGAAAAAAAAACUCUCUGACUUCUGGUUGUUCUGGUCUCAGAAAAACGGACUUCGAGCUAGUGACCCCGAUAUUCCAAUCUUAUUUCUAAUGAGGAUUACUGACAGAAACUCAUCCUCUACGACUGAAAGAAGGAGCUGGAGCUGGCCUUGUCUCCGUUUCAAAAAUAACUCAAUUAUAUCAUUAAAUAG
RNAcentral lists this long non-coding RNA (248 nucleotides) under Suricata suricatta (meerkat). RNAcentral's name for it is "lncRNA (ENSSSUG00005001463.1)". The record is from RNAcentral. Lineage: Eukaryota; Metazoa; Chordata; Mammalia; Carnivora; Herpestidae.